UACGAAGGGGGCUAGCGUUGCUCGGAAUUACUGGGCGUAAAGGGCGCGUAGGCGGGUCGUUAAGUUGGGGUGGAAAAGCCCAGGGCUCAACCCUGGAAUUGCCUUCAAUACUGGCGACCUUGAGUAUGGCAGAGGUGUGUGGAACUCCGAGUGUAGAGGUGAAAUUCGUAGAUAUUCGGAAGAACACCAGUGGCGAAGGCGACACACUGGGCCAUUACUGACGCUGAGGCGCGAAAGCGUGGGGAGCAAACAGG
Molecule: ribosomal RNA, 254 nt
Filed under: uncultured bacterium
Lineage: Bacteria
Description: partial 16S ribosomal RNA
Rfam family: Bacterial small subunit ribosomal RNA
Source: RNAcentral